AGUUUUGUGUAGUGGCAGUAUCAUAGCCAAGGAAUUUUAUCCAAGGCAUGAUUAUUACUGAUUAAAAACUUUUCCCACCUCAUAAAGC
Small nuclear RNA from Castor canadensis (American beaver), 88 nucleotides. Its record names the gene U4. It matches the Rfam family "U4 spliceosomal RNA". From Rfam's summary of the family: U4 small nuclear RNA (U4 snRNA) is a component of the major U2-dependent spliceosome. The structure of U4 snRNA from yeast and human has been reported. The record is from Ensembl. Lineage: Eukaryota; Metazoa; Chordata; Mammalia; Rodentia; Castoridae.